CUCUAGUGGAUUCAUCCAUCGAUGACUUCAUAGCUGAAUGUACUGUUAGGAAAUGAGUCACUGGGAUGGAACUUGGAAGGCAGUAUUCUUGCUCCCUCUCCUUCCUGCUCUCUCUGCUUCCUGGCUUCCAUGGGUUGAAUGGCUUUCCUCUGCCAUGUCCCUUUGUCAUCCUAUUUCUGCCUUGGAGCCAGCCAACCAUGGACUGCAACCAUGAGCCAAAAGAAAUCUCUCAUUUAAACUUACAGGAAAAAAGAAAAAAGAAAAAAAGAAAGGAAAAGAAAGGAAAAAUUAUUUCAGGAGCAGGAAACUUAUACAAGUCAGAAACUCAGACCUCCAUGAAGAAAAGUAGAGCGUCAGAGGAGGAAUAAGUGAAGAACUGUGUUCCAGGAGGCGAGAGGCCAGCUCCACCCACGACUCAGAUACCUGCACAAAGACUUCUCCCAAAAACAGCACUGAGUUCUGUGCAUCCUCCCACUGCAUUGCUCAGAAUAAUAAAAGGAUGGAGUAGAGUUUGGUGUCACUGUCUUGAUUAAUAUUAAGACUCUAGUAGCA
Heterocephalus glaber (naked mole-rat) is the source of this 552-nucleotide long non-coding RNA. The record is from Ensembl. Lineage: Eukaryota; Metazoa; Chordata; Mammalia; Rodentia; Bathyergidae.